UACGUAGGGUGCGAGCGUUAAUCGGAAUUACUGGGCGUAAAGCGUGCGCAGGCGGUUUUGUAAGACAGGGGUGAAAUCCCCGGGCUCAACCUGGGAACUGCCUUUGUGACUGCAAGGCUUGAGUGCGGCAGAGGGGGAUGGAAUUCCGCGUGUAGCAGUGAAAUGCGUAGAUAUGCGGAGGAACACCGAUGGCGAAGGCAAUCCCCUGGGCCUGCACUGACGCUCAUGCACGAAAGCGUGGGGAGCAAACAGG
RNAcentral lists this ribosomal RNA (253 nucleotides) under uncultured bacterium. RNAcentral describes it as "partial 16S ribosomal RNA". It matches the Rfam family "Bacterial small subunit ribosomal RNA", at positions 524 to 776 of the family's 1533-position model. The record is from RNAcentral.